GGCACCACUGCACUACAGCCUGGGCGACAGAGCAAGACUCCAUCUCAAAAUAAUAAUAGUAAUAAUGGUGCUCAAUUCUGCUGUGAGGACUAACAGGGUAACGCAGGUAAGGCGUCUCCAGCUCAGUGCUGGCAGAGGAAGACUACUGGCAGAUGUGGGCUAGGAGUCACUGUGUUUUCCCCCAUAUACUUUUAGACUCAGGUGGGGAAGAGCCCCCACUCUCAGGGAUCUGCUACCAGGCUGCUGUAGGAAAGCCCAGGUAGGUUGUCCAGGGCAGCAUAUCAGGCAGUGAAGUGUGAGGCCAGGUGCAGAAGCCACAACUUUGGGUAGAAAGGCAGACGACAGUCACUAGGAAGCCAGGAGGGAGUGUCCCAGCCUCCUACAUGGAGGGCAGGAGCCGACAGAGAAAUGGAGGCAGCUGGCCCAGGACGUCAAGCCAGGCUAAAGCAGGAGGCAAGCUUUGAGAAUGGGUGUCCAUGGCGAGGGAAGCAGGGGGUGCUGCAGGAGUGGCAGCCCGGGGUCUCCAGCCCCAGACCUGAUGGGCUGCCUCUGUGAAGGCCAUGGUGGCCUCCUGGGACUCAGGCAGGUCCCCAGGUCCUUCUCAUUCCUUUCACCCACCAAUUUAGACCAUGUAGGACUGCUUGGGCCAUUCUACUUCCCCUCCUUUGCUCUCACACUCUGCCUCGUUUCUCCCUCCAGCGGAGCUCUCUCUUCUGCCUCUUCCAAGUAGCCAUGCAUGUGGCCGAGUCCUAACAAAUUUCCUAGAGGGGCCGGUGAGCAGAACAAGUGCAAGGAGUCACUCCAGGCUCAUUGACAAGAGGAGGGCCUAGUAGGCUCCUGCGGAAAUCCUGAAGGCUUGGGAGAUGCUGUCCACCUAACU
This 880-nucleotide long non-coding RNA is filed under the name Homo sapiens (human). RNAcentral describes it as "HSALNT0393156". The record is from RNAcentral. Lineage: Eukaryota; Metazoa; Chordata; Mammalia; Primates; Hominidae.